Molecule: non-coding RNA, 52 nt
Organism: Canis lupus familiaris (dog)
Lineage: Eukaryota; Metazoa; Chordata; Mammalia; Carnivora; Canidae
Source: Rfam
UUUUUAGCACAAGUAUGUCCCAUGCAAUAUAUAGGACAUACUUGUGCUAAAA